Cyprinus carpio carpio is the source of this 2213-nucleotide long non-coding RNA. NCBI's taxonomy places the organism in Eukaryota, Metazoa, Chordata, Actinopteri, Cypriniformes, Cyprinidae. The record is from Ensembl.
CAUCUAUAUUUAAUGUAUUAUAUUUUGAUAAAAACUGUCAAACAGUUUCUGAACCUUUCAGGUUAUUAAGGGUCUCGGAAAAAUAAUUUACUGACUCUCCAUUACUUCAACAUGUAACAAUUCACUAAAAACUCAAGCACGUUUUCCUUUGGAGAGCAACUUGUGUGUACAGCAGAUUGUAGACAAGGGCGCUGGAACAGAUGUUCACGAAAAGCCGAUUGUAUUCCUUCUGAUGGUUGGACGGCUGAAGUGGAGGUAGGCAGUGGAACAGAUGAAAGAGAAGCAGGAGAAUAAGAGUGUAUAACUCGCUCUCAUCGCCUGCAGUGAGGCAGAGGCUGGAGAGACAUGCAGAUGGGCGCAUCCUCAGGUAAUCCACCCGUUUAUGAGGAGAUUGAUGGAUCUGAGGCAAACGCAACUGACGCAAAGCUCACAUCUAUCUUGGUUUAAGGAUGUGGUCCGCCGAAAGGCUGGGAGGAGGAAUUACAUGCACAAGCACUAUGGCCCCUCAUAAAUCACUGCCACCCAGAGAAAAUGUCACAUUCCAGCGCUUGGUGGGAAUUGGGAAGAGGAAACAGGAAGGAGAGCCGAUGACAACAUCUGGUUGUGAUUUCAGAGAUGCGGGCAUGCUUGGGACUUUUCCAGACCAAAGUAAUCAUAUUUUUGUCAGCACGGCUAUCUCUUACCUGCUGCAGAGUGUGAAUGAAUAAUUGAAAUCCUGACCUUGCAGCAGAAGCUGUCACAAAGGUGUCCAGCGGUCGGCCCUGUAGUGAGGGCUUGCUGCGGGUGGCAUGUGUGUGUGGGUGUAACCGGCUUGCUACCAUGACAACAGAGGCCCAGGAGACCCUGCCCAUGCCACAGCAUGAUUGGCCGGUUUAUGAAGUGGCAUCUGCCGUCCAGGGGGCCAUAUGGACGAACUGACAUUUAGCGACACUCUCCGUGCUAUACAGGACCGUGUGGCUGAGAGAAAGAGAGGACUUGCGCUGUAACCUUUACACACACGGUCACACACAAGCAAGCCUUAGUCCUAAAGCCCUGCUGUGACCCGCACAGGCCCAUGCUGGUGCUAUGACACAUGUGCUUCAAACAGAAGAACAGGCAUUAGAUCAGAAAGGCAGGCCGCAUGUAUUAAAGAAUCGGCCCCUCACAGAUUUUCUAACACACAUCACUGAGGACGCAGGGAAAAUCUCUGCAGAUGGGAGCCUCUCUUUCACCCUGGUGUGAGCUCAGCUGUGUGUCGCGCUGACAUCACCCUGUCCCACACGAACUGAUGUCAGAUUCCAUGCUGAAGUUUCCUCAUCUCUCUGGGACGGCAGUCGAGCCGCUGGAGACCGCUAAUGGCAGAUCUCCAGUUUCAAAUUCAUGUCUUUCACAACAUAACAAAGUCUGGGAAAAUUGAUCUGUUCUUGGGAGGAUUAACUUCAUGAACUCAUCUGAUUAGAAGCAAUUUGGGGUUUACCAUGUCAAGUUAGCAAUUCAGAGAUUUUGAGUAAUAUUUCCACUGUAAUAACAGCCUUUAAAAGUGAAGUGUAAUUUCUGCACAGCCAAUGUUGCCAAAUGCAAUUGCAAAAAAAUCAUAGCUUGCUACUUAUGUCAUCAUGUCAAGUUAGUGAUUCAGAAAUUUAAAGUUACAUUUUCACUGUAAUAUCAACCUUUCAAAGUGAAGCGUAAUUUUUACACCAAUGUUACCAAAUGCAACAGCAAAAAUUGCUACUUACUGAAUACUGUGAAAUCUGAGAAUCACUUCUGAACGCGAGCAAGCUGUCAAUAUUAUUAGCUCUCUCUAUACUGUAUACACACCUUAUGAAGAGGGUUUUAUUUGUUUUUGUUUUUUCUCUGUGUAGAUUGUGUGUGUGUGUGUGUGUGUGUGUGUGUGUGUGUGUGUGUUUGUGUUUGUGUAUGCGUGUGUGUGUGAUAUCGACCAGCAGGGGAAACAAGGUCAUGCUAACCAGCCAAAACUUGACCCCUUGGUUUUUUGUUCAUCAUUUUGAAAACUAAAACCAUGUCUUCUGACAUUUCAUUAUUUGGUCACUUCAUAAUGUGGUCCAACUGACUGUUGUUAAGCCAAAUUUUGAAUGGCUCACUUAAACUGGUAUAGGAGAAAGUCUUUUAACAUCAAACAUGUAAAUACAUUGGGAUUUAUUCAUCAGACAUGAGGAGGUUGAAUUGUACAUAUCAUUUAUAAAUCAAUUUAUACAUAAAUUAUCACAUUAAGU